CACAGCACAGGCACUGAUCAAAGUUCUAGGUGUUUACCUGCACCCAGCCAUUAGCAGAGCACCUGCCUGCUGCUGCUGCCAGCACUAGGAACGCUGAGGAGACAGUACAGGAACAAAAGCAAGAUCAUAACUGGCUUCCAGAUGUUUCCCGUGAAUGUGACACAGAAGGAAGCAGGAACAGGAAUGGUGUGGAUGGUACCAGACGUUCCAACCCCUGCAUCAGCCCAUUAGCGGUGGGCAAUGAACACAGUGCUGUGCUGAGCCUCAGCAAUUAUGAUCCUGUUCCUGAUGAACAAACCAAACAGCUGUGCCUGUUUAUCUUAUUGAUCAUCUCUACACUUGCUAUGGUGACCUGCAAACACUUUCAGCAGUAUCCUGAGUCAACAUGUAAGUGAUAGAAAUAGAUUUAAGUGAACAUCCUUUAGAAGAAAGGUAGGAGUGUAUUAUAUUUGGGAAAAUUCAUUAGGUGAAAUAGUAUUGUUAUAUGAUGAAAAAGUUGAAACAUACUACUGUGAGAAAUUAAACUACCUAUACUAUUUAAAACUCUCAGAGGAAAUAGAAUAUUUAGCAUCAAAUUUUGCAAUCUGAUCCUAGUACUUCACCUUAAUUUGCUUUAGAAUUUAAAAAAAAUACUGGUUUGGGUACAUCAUGGCUGAUGACUUUUAUGGCAAUACAUAACUUACUGAGAAAUUGCUAUUUGCAAUGGGUUAGCUGUUUCUUGCUUGCCCUUUUUAACCUCAGGGUAUAUUUUGAUGCAUUAUCUCCUUUUCACAUUAAAAAAAAAGUCGAUAGAGUCCAAGCAAUGAGCAAGUGGACAGGUGAGGACCUCAGCCAGGUGGAGCUGGGACUGCUGCCCCACCCUGCCACCACCCCACCAUCCCUCCCCCUCCCAGCGAGGAGCCACCAAGGUGCCUUCAGCACCACCCCAGCCCAGUGCAUAUCACCCCCCACCCCACCUCCCCUGCUUCCUGGCUGCAUAGGUACCUGGUCCCAAAGUGCACACACUGCAGAGGCACAGAGGGUCAUAAAGGCC
This 1033-nucleotide long non-coding RNA is filed under the name Heterocephalus glaber (naked mole-rat). RNAcentral describes it as "lncRNA (ENSHGLG00100039992.1)". The record is from RNAcentral. Lineage: Eukaryota; Metazoa; Chordata; Mammalia; Rodentia; Bathyergidae.